GACGAACGCUGGCGGCGUGCUUAACACAUGCAAGUCGAACGGUAAGGCUCCAGCUUGCUGGGGUACACGAGUGGCGAACGGGUGGGUAACACGUGGGUGACCUGCCCUGCACUUCGGGAUAAGCCAGGGAAACUGGGUCUAAUACCGGAUAGGACCAUGGUGUGGAUACUGUGGUGGAAAGUUUUUUCGGUGUGGGAUGGGCCCGCGGCCUAUCAGCUUGUUGGUGGGGUAAUGGCCUACCAAGGCGGCGACGGGUAGCCGGCCUGAGAGGGUGGACGGCCACAUUGGGACUGAGACACGGCCCAGACUCCUACGGGAGGCAGCAGUGGGGAAUAUUGCACAAUGGGCGGAAGCCUGAUGCAGCGACGCCGCGUGGGGGAUGACGGCCUUCGGGUUGUAAACUCCUUUCACCAUCGACGAAGGGUUUCUGACGGUAGAUGGAGAAGAAGCACCGGCUAACUACGUG
RNAcentral lists this ribosomal RNA (466 nucleotides) under uncultured bacterium. RNAcentral describes it as "partial 16S ribosomal RNA". It matches the Rfam family "Bacterial small subunit ribosomal RNA", at positions 28 to 507 of the family's 1533-position model. The record is from RNAcentral.